Carassius carassius (crucian carp) is the source of this 458-nucleotide long non-coding RNA. RefSeq lists it as uncharacterized. The transcript is spliced from 2 exons. The record is from RefSeq and is a predicted model, not a curated record. Lineage: Eukaryota; Metazoa; Chordata; Actinopteri; Cypriniformes; Cyprinidae.
CAGACAUUGGAAGUAUCCAAUGAAGACCCUAGCAGUAUGGAGUAUAUGGAUACAGACGUUGCCAGCAAUCAGGAGGUGAUCCAGAAGACUCGUGGGAAUCUAUUUGAAGCUGCAUCAUUGAAGACAGUCCAGCAGAAGUUGGAGUUUUAAAGGAUAAAGUUCUUCAGGACCUAUAGCAGUUUACAUUAUGCAAAACCAUGUUGCUGGGACUGAUAUAUGGACUGAACUUGAGCAACCCUCCUGAACUCAGGUACACAUUUGGAAUACUGAAGAAGUUAUUUUUGGAGCCAGUUCCUGUUCCUGGAAUAAGGUUUGAUUGGUUACCCAUGAAUGCCAAUUAGAAAAUGAGUAGUUUGAUAUUUCUGCUAUUUUGUGUAAUUUUGUAAUGUGGUUUAAACCGUAUUUAACUGCGUGUAAUUAUUUAUUGUUUGUUUAACAAAUACACUUUGAUCAUUUGU